This 440-nucleotide ribosomal RNA is filed under the name uncultured bacterium. RNAcentral describes it as "partial 16S ribosomal RNA". It matches the Rfam family "Bacterial small subunit ribosomal RNA", at positions 338 to 795 of the family's 1533-position model. The record is from RNAcentral.
CCUACGGGCGGCAGCAGUGGGGGAUAUUGCACAAUGGGGGAAACCCUGAUGCAGCGACGCCGCGUGUGGGAAGACGGUCCUCUGGAUUGUAAACCACUGUUCCCAGGGACGAAGAUGACGGUACCUGGGGAGGAAGCUCCGGCUAACUACGUGCCAGCAGCCGCGGUAAUACGUAGGGAGCAAGCGUUGUCCGGAAUUACUGGGUGUAAAGGGAGCGUAGGCGGGAUGGCAAGUUGGGUGUUAAAUCUACCGGCUAAACUGGUAGGCGCACUCAAAACUGCUAUUCUUGAGUGAAGUAGAGGCAGGCGGAAGUCCUGGUGUAGCGGUGAAAUGCGUAGAUAUUAGGAGGAACACCAGUGGCGAAGGCGGCCUGCUAGGCUUUUACUGACGCUGAGGCUCGAAAGUGUGGGGAGCAAACAGGAUUAGAUACCCGAGUAGUC